This 497-nucleotide ribosomal RNA is filed under the name uncultured bacterium. Its description in RNAcentral is "partial 16S ribosomal RNA". It matches the Rfam family "Bacterial small subunit ribosomal RNA", at positions 28 to 507 of the family's 1533-position model. The record is from RNAcentral.
GAUGAACGCUGGCGGCGUGCCUAAUACAUGCAAGUCGAGCGAACAGACGAGGCGCUUGCUCGUCUGACGUUAGCCGCGGACGGGUGAGUAACACGUGGAUAACCUACCUAUAAGACUGGGAUAACUUCGGGAAACCGGAGCUAAUCCUGGAUAAUCUAUUGAACCGUAUGGUUCAAUAGUGAAAUACGGUUUUGCUGUCACUUAUAGAUGGCUCCGCGCCGCAUUAGCUAGUUGGUACGGUCACGGCUUACCAAGGCAACGAUGCGUAGCCGACCUGAGAGGGUGGUCGGCCACACUAGAACGGAGACGCGGUCCAGACUACUACGGGAGGCAGCAGUGGGGAAACGUCCGCAAUGGGCGGAAGCCUGACGGAGCAACGCCGCGUGAGUGAUAGAAAUCUUCGGAUCGGAAAACUCUGUUACUAGGGAAGAACAAAUGUGUAAGUAACGAUGCACUGCUUGACGGUACCUAAUCAAAAAGCCACGGCUAACUACGUG